GAUGAACGCUGGCGGCGUGCUUAACACAUGCAAGUCGAACGGAAAGGCCCAAACUUUCUUGGGUACUCGAGUGGCGAACGGGGGGGUAACACGCGUGUGUACCGCCCUUCACUUCGGGAUAAGCCUUGGAAACUGGGGCUAAUACCGGAUAGAACAUUGGUUUGGAUGUCGUUGUGGAAAGUUUUUUCGGGGUGGGAUCAGGUCGCGGAGUAUCCGCUUGUUGGUGGGGUAUUGGCAUACCAAGGCGUUGACGGGGAGCCGGCCUGAGAGAGCGUACGGCCGCAUCGGACCUGGGAGAGGGCCCGGACUCGUACGGGAGGCAGAAGUGGGGAAUAUUGGACAAUGGGAGGCAGCGUGAUGCAGGGACGCCGCGUGGGGGAUGACGGCCGUUGGGUUGUAAACUCCUUUCGCUAGGGACGAAGCGAUUUUGUGACGGUACCUGGAGAAGAAGCACCGGCUAACUACGUG
This 468-nucleotide ribosomal RNA is filed under the name uncultured bacterium. RNAcentral describes it as "partial 16S ribosomal RNA". It matches the Rfam family "Bacterial small subunit ribosomal RNA", at positions 28 to 507 of the family's 1533-position model. The record is from RNAcentral.